This is a long non-coding RNA of Prionailurus viverrinus (fishing cat), 1982 nucleotides long. RefSeq lists it as uncharacterized. The transcript has 6 exons. NCBI's taxonomy places the organism in Eukaryota, Metazoa, Chordata, Mammalia, Carnivora, Felidae. The record is from RefSeq and is a predicted model, not a curated record.
CUGACUAAUACAUCUGGAAUGGGCCUGAGAUUCUGUAUUGCUAAGAAGCAAUGAAUAACAAGUUUAUAGAAGACUUCGAUUAAGGAUUCCAACAUAUAUGAAAAAUUUCAAACCAGAAGAGGCCUCCCCCAUUUUUAAAAAUAUGCUUUUUAUUUUAAGAGUUUUAGGUUUAUAGGAAAGUUGCAGAGAUAGUACAGUGACAUUAUUCACCAUAGCCAAGAUCUAGAAACAACCUAAGGAGCCAUCAACAGAGAAAUGGAUAAAGAAAAUGUGAUAUGUAACAUAUAUAAAAUGGAAUAUUGAAGCCAUCCUCCCAGCUAAAGCCCAAGAAUUCUUGAUGAAGUAUCCAGUGGUCCUGAUCCAUGGGUUGUGCCUAGCUAAUUUAAAAAGAAAAGGAGGGUCACCUGUGUGGCUCAGUCAGUUGAGCGUCUGACUCUAGAUUUCGGUUCAGGUUAUGAUCCCAGAGUCCUGGGAUCGAGCCUUGCGUCGAGCCUUGUGAUAGGCCCCGCGUUCCGGUUUCAUCUUUCCACUGGCUCUCCAUCUCUUCAUUGAAGCCUUGCCUAAGUAUCUUCCUUAGGCUGUGGUAAUUUAGGACACAAUUUUUGGUCAUAAUUUUCAUUUUCUCUGUGAUGAUAUUUUUCUGGAGCUGCCAUACCAUGUUUCACAGUGGCUGCACCAUUUACACUCUUACCAACAAUGCACAAUGCACCUUUCAACAAAGGUCUUCUUGGAAUGCAACAUUUGGAGUCCCUCUUACAUCUUCUUGCCUCUAGAACAAAGCUGAACUUGUUGAUCCAUCCCCGUGAAGUGAAGCUUGAAAAGAAUUCUCUCCAUGUUCCCAAAUCCCUUUUUAAGUCAAAGUGCCUCCAAAUUGCCUCUCCUUGUAGACCUUCUGUGACCCACAGUAUACUGGAGAAAAGCAGAAUCUCAGUCCCCAUCCCAGAAAUAGCGCUUGCAUUUUCAUGUGGUUCUCAUACGUGUUAGAGUUUGAGAAGCACGGAUUUAGAGCUCCAGGCUUGGCUCACACUUGACCCCGGUCCUCCUCGCUGAACAACAGAGGUAAGGAGACUAGAACAGCGGUAAUAGUUAUGUUAGGGACAGGAUCUCUACCCAAGGAUCCACUCAGACACUUUUCACUAUCCUCAAGCCCUGCCUGCACAGGAAGCUGGCCACUAAAGAUAGACUGCCUGUGGGAGACAUAGGGACAUAAGGGACCUCUGCUAGCUGUGCAGCAGGGUGAAAAAGGGUGGAACAGGAAAAGGAGGAAGGCAAGUUCCUGGAUUCCAAAAACCACAGUUUGUCUAGGUGCUACUUUCUCCCUUAUUUAGCACAUAACUUUGUCAUAUGACAUCCCUUUGCUGACCUCUUUUCCUUUUGCAUUUUACCCCGCAUUCAAAAGUCACCAUCUAAAACUUUUCUCCAUGGGUUAGAAACUUUAAGUUGUCAGGGACUGAAUGUGCCCUGUUUCCAACAGUUUCUGGCAGUUCUCUGCUUUUAUGGUGUAGUCAUGGUGAAACCUGAGUCAUCUGAAGAUGGUGCCAGUGCCAAAGAACUGGGGAAGGAGCUUGUUGACAAGCCAGGAUGGCAAGGAGCUGGGCUCAAGUAACUGCUGGGCACCCAGGGCCACUGUCCUAUUGGGACAGGAGAGCUGCCCCAAUCCUAAAUGUGUUUAUACAAAUCGCCCCAAACUUUACAGUUUUAAUGAAUACUUUCUGUAGCAAGAGUGUUUAGACACGGCCCAAAAUAUAAAGCAUCUCCCCGGAAAAUUGUUUCUCACAGUUCUGAGUAGCAACACCUAGCUUUUGCAUGUGCCAGAAUUCCUUUCUUUCCUUUACUCUCUUUCUUCCUUUUUUUUUUUUUUUUUUAAACUGAGAAAUCACAACAUUUUCCUGGACAGGCAAACAAAAUACCUUAAUUUGUGUUUUAAGUAAGAAUCGUUUCCUUCCUGUUUCAUUCACAUACAUUAAACUAUCCAGAAAGUA